CGUGGGCCAUGCUGCUCUGGGGAAGAGCAGCGUGCAUCCAGAAUGCCGUGCCUGCCCCCGGGGGCAGCUGCCCACCACCGCGGUUUUGUGCUGCACUUCAUGCUGCCUGCACAGCCUGCAGCCCCGGCUGUCGGCGCUGGGAGGGAGCAACAGGAUAUGUGGUGGGUGAAAUCAGACGCGCAGCUCUGGGGACAGAGAUGUCUCUUGAGCCACAGCUCUCCUCCCUGCUCAGCCCUGCGGGGACGGAGGGUGGGUGCACGCCGGGUGUCGGUGCCCGACCUCCUGGCUGGAUGUUUUAACCACCAGCAGAGAAGAGGAGCAGAAAGACCGACGUGGCUCGCACGUAGGGCAGGGUAUGGAUGUUCCUUGCUGCAGGAAGGAGGGUGACAGUGGGAGACAGGAGAAGGCUGAUCCAUCCUUGGAAGGAAACAAGGAAUAAACUGGGGACCCUCAUUUGCCAGGACAUCAUGGCUGAAGCGAUGCCAUGACAGGCACUGCCAUCAGCUCUCUUUCUCUCUCUCCAUGGAUCCAGGGAUUAUGCCAUUGGCAGAGAUGCACAGAAAUACUUUCCCAUUAGUUUUCACGAUGGAAGCAUCCCUUUGCCCCAUAUGCUACAACAUAAUGUGGCAUCCCUGACCCUUGUCUGGCAUCAUCAAUGUACUCUCAGCAUGGAAGGUGCAGAUAUCAGGGGACUGAGCUAAUUUUCUCAGGCAUAAAAGCAUCUUUUUAUUAUUGUUU
Pseudopipra pipra is the source of this 738-nucleotide long non-coding RNA. RefSeq lists it as uncharacterized. The record is from RefSeq and is a predicted model, not a curated record. The transcript is spliced from 2 exons. NCBI's taxonomy places the organism in Eukaryota, Metazoa, Chordata, Aves, Passeriformes, Pipridae.